This 775-nucleotide ribosomal RNA is filed under the name uncultured Neocallimastigales. RNAcentral describes it as "partial large subunit ribosomal RNA". It matches the Rfam family "Eukaryotic large subunit ribosomal RNA", at positions 24 to 629 of the family's 3401-position model. The record is from RNAcentral. Lineage: Eukaryota; Fungi; Neocallimastigomycota; Neocallimastigomycetes; Neocallimastigales.
UAUCUCUGUAGAGUCUGCAUAUCAAUAAGCGGAGGAAAAGAAACUAACUAGGAUUCCCUCAGUAACGGCGAGUGAAGCGGGAAGAGCUCAAAUUUGAAAUCUUCAAGGUUCUACCUUGACGAAUUGUAGUUUAAAGAAGUGUUUUCUGUUGGAGUUUUGGUAAAAGUUCUUUGGAAUAGGACAUCAUAGAGGGUGAGAAUCCCGUAUUUGACCAUUAUUUCCAGCUUUGUGAUACACUUUCAAAGAGUCGGAUUGUUUGGGAAUGCAGUCCAAAAUGGGUGGUAAAUUUCAUCUAAAGCUAAAUACUGGCGAGAGACCGAUAGCGAACAAGUACCGUGAGGGAAAGAUGAAAAGAACUUUGAAAAGAGAGUUAAACAGUACGUGAAAUUGUCAAAAGGGAAGCGUUUGACACCAGUGUUGUUUUCUCGAAAAUCAAUUAAAAAGGGCAGGAUUUUGUGUUGUAUUGACUUUAUCAGCUUUCUGCACUCUUUUCUUGUCUUUUUUUAAUGCACUUUUCGUUUAACAAGUCAACAUCAAUUUCUUUUGUUGUAAAAGGGUCAUUGGAAGGUGGCUUUCUUUUCGGAGAAAGUGUUUAUAGCCUUUGGCCUCUGCAAUCGGAGAGAUUGAGGUCUGCAGCGUAGAUCCUUCGGGGUUAGAUACAUUUGUGCUAAGUUAUAGCCUUUCAUAGACAACUUGUUGACUAUGAUCAGUCAUGUAGCUUACUCGCUUAUGCUAUUUUACCUACGCUUAGGAUGUUGAUAGUCACAGCGUGUAC